Molecule: ribosomal RNA, 253 nt
Filed under: uncultured bacterium
Lineage: Bacteria
Description: partial 16S ribosomal RNA
Rfam family: Bacterial small subunit ribosomal RNA
Source: RNAcentral
UACGGGGGGGGCAAGCGUUGUUCGGAAUUACUGGGCGUAAAGGGCUCGUAGGCGGCCAACUAAGUCGGACGUGAAAUCCCUCGGCUUAACCGGGGAACUGCUUCCGAUACUGGAUGGCUUGAGUGUGGGAGAGGGAUGCGGAAUUCCUGGUGUAGCGGUGAAAUGCGCAGAUAUCAGGAAGAACACCCGUGGCUAAGGCGGCUCUCUAGUACGGUACUGACGCUGAGACGCGAAAGCGUGGGGAGCGAACAGG